UACGUAGGGAGCAAGCGUUGUCCGGAAUCAUUGGGCGUAAAGCGCGCGUAGGCGGCCUCAUAAGUCCGUUGUGAAAGUCAAAGGCUCAACCUUUGAAAGCCGAUGGAUACUGUGAGGCUAGAGUCCGGAAGAGGCGAGUGGAAUUCCUGGUGUAGCGGUGGAAUGCGCAGAUAUCAGGAGGAACACCAAUAGCGAAGGCAGCUCGCUGGGACGGUACUGACGCUAAGGCGCGAAAGCCAGGGGAGCAAACGGG
RNAcentral lists this ribosomal RNA (253 nucleotides) under uncultured bacterium. Its description in RNAcentral is "partial 16S ribosomal RNA". It matches the Rfam family "Bacterial small subunit ribosomal RNA", at positions 524 to 776 of the family's 1533-position model. The record is from RNAcentral.